AGCGAACGCUGGCGGCAGGCUUAACACAUGCAAGUCGAACGGUCCUUCGGGAUAGUGGCGGACGGGUGAGUAACACGUGGGAACGUACCCUUAGGUUCGGAACAACACAGGGAAACUUGUGCUAAUACCGGAUAAGCCCUUCGGGGGAAAGAUUUAUCGCCUUUGGAGCGGCUCGCGUCUGAUUAGCUUGUUGGUGAGGUAAUGGCUCACCAAGGCUACGAUCAGUAGCUGGUCUGAGAGGAUGGCCAGCCACACUGGGACUGAGACACGGCCCAGACUCCUACGGGAGGCAGCAGUGGGGAAUCUUGCGCAAUGGGCGAAAGCCUGACGCAGCCAUGCCGCGUGGAUGAUGAAGGUCUUAGGAUUGUGAAAUCCUUUCACCGGGGACGAUAAUGACGGUACCCGGAGAAGAAGCCCCGGCUAACUUCGUGCCAGCCGCCGCAGUAA
This 447-nucleotide ribosomal RNA is filed under the name uncultured bacterium. RNAcentral describes it as "partial 16S ribosomal RNA". It matches the Rfam family "Bacterial small subunit ribosomal RNA", at positions 29 to 523 of the family's 1533-position model. The record is from RNAcentral.